RNAcentral lists this ribosomal RNA (497 nucleotides) under uncultured bacterium. Its description in RNAcentral is "partial 16S ribosomal RNA". It matches the Rfam family "Bacterial small subunit ribosomal RNA", at positions 28 to 507 of the family's 1533-position model. The record is from RNAcentral.
GAUGAACGCUGGCGGCGUGCCUAAUACAUGCAAGUCGAGCGAACGGACGAGGAGCUUGUUUCUCUGAUGUUAGGGGCGGACGGGUGAGUAACAUGUGGAUAACCUCCCUAUAAUUCGGGGAUAACUUCGGGAAACCGGCGCUAAUACCGGAUAAUAUUUUGAACCGCAGGGGUCAAAGGUGAAAGACGGUCUUGCGGUCACUUAUAGAUGGAUCCGCGCUGCUUUAGGUAGUUGGUAGGGUAACGGCUUACCAAGGCAACGAGGCAUAGCCGACCUGUGAGGCGGAUCGGCCGCACGAGAGCGUGGACACCGUCCAUGCUCCUGAGAGAGGGACCAGAAGGGAAUGUGCCGCAGUAGGCGAAAGCAUGACGGAGCAACGGCGCGUGAGUGAUGGAGGUCUUCGGAGCGUAAAACUCUGUUAUUAGGUAAGAACAGAUGUGUCAGGAACUGUGGACAUCGUGACGGUAACGAAUCAGAAAGCCACGGCUAACUACGUG